ACUAAGGUGGCCUAGUGGCUAAAGCGUCCGCCUCGGAUGCGGAAGAUCGUGGGUUCGUUCCCCCCCCCCGGCU
Molecule: non-coding RNA, 73 nt
Organism: Potamilus streckersoni
Lineage: Eukaryota; Metazoa; Mollusca; Bivalvia; Unionida; Unionidae
Source: the annotation of a GenBank genome assembly